GUAGGUGGCAAGCGUUGUCCGGAAUUAUUGGGCGUAAAGCGCGCGCAGCCGGUCCUUUAAGUCUGAUGUGAAAGCCCACGGCUCAACCGUGGAGGGUCAUUGGAAACUGGGGGACUUGAGUACAGAAGAGGAAAGCGGAAUUCCAAGUGUAGCGGUGAAAUGCGUAGAGAUUUGGAGGAACACCAGUGGCGAAGGCGGCUUUCUGGUCUGUAACUGACGCUGAGGCGCGAAAGCGUGGGGAGCAAACAGGGAUUAGAUACCCUGGUAGUCCACGCCGUAAACGAUGAGUGCUAAGUGUUAGGGGGUUUCCCGCCCCUUAGUGCUGCAGCUAACGCAUUAAGCACUCCGCCUGGGGAGUACGGCCGCAAGGCUG
RNAcentral lists this ribosomal RNA (373 nucleotides) under uncultured organism. Its description in RNAcentral is "partial 16S ribosomal RNA". It matches the Rfam family "Bacterial small subunit ribosomal RNA", at positions 527 to 896 of the family's 1533-position model. The record is from RNAcentral.